RNAcentral lists this transfer RNA (70 nucleotides) under Marmota monax (woodchuck). RNAcentral describes it as "tRNA.Ala". The record is from RNAcentral. Lineage: Eukaryota; Metazoa; Chordata; Mammalia; Rodentia; Sciuridae.
UGGGCUGUAGCUCAGUGGUAGAGUUUUGCCUGGCAUGUGGAAAGCCUUGGGUUCAUCACCAGCACCACAA